AGAUUCAUUUACUAUCAUUACUGCAUCCAAAACCAAUGAAAACCAACCACAUUCAUGAUUAUAUAUAUAUAUAUAUAUAUAUACAUAUGUAUGUGUUUUAAUGUGUGGGAGAUUAGCAUACACGGUUGUCCUCUUCAAUCUAUUUCCAAAUUUUGCAUUACUCGUCUUAUUCUAAAAUAAGAAACAAGUAGAAAAGGAGAAAUUGAAAAAACAUAUGUAGAAUGUAUUUGAUGGUCUCCUGAUUGAGACCCAGUUGCUUUGGAUGUUGGUGGGCAAGGUAUAUCAGCAUUGAAGAUUGAUCACUUUUUGGCUUCAAAAGAUUCAUGUGAAGUUUUAUAUCAUCUGUUUCUUUUGUAAUAAAAUCUGCUGCGAAGGAAAAGUGAUAUUGUGCUGGACAGAAACAUUGUUUAUUCCAAUUAAGGUUUUCACAAGAACUGUCAAUUGCUUUAGAAUGAUUGUCCCACACAAUAUAUGUAACACUCCACAAUUUCUAAAGCUAAAAUUAUCAGGACAUGAAUUUUUACUCGUACAAUACAUUCCAAUUGAUGGGUUGAGUUGGAGAAAUCUUGCCUCCUAUUUUACUCCAAACGUCAUUGCCAUGUGCAUUUAAUCUUGUUAUAUUUACUCUGACACACUAUAUAAUCCACAAUUCAAACCCUAAAAGUGCAUCCUUUAACAUUUCAAAGGUCAAAUGUGAAAAUAAACCUCAGCCUAAAAUCAAUAGAACAUUCAUAUUAAAUGUAUUUAUAAUAACAAAAAUAAUAAAAUCCGCUGAGUUAUUGUGAACAAAAAGUUUGACGCCUGCCCAAAAUUCUGUCCACAACUCAGUCAAGUUUGCUCAAGCUUUACUCAACUACUCCAAGCCUAUCCUCA
This 873-nucleotide long non-coding RNA is filed under the name Physcomitrium patens. RNAcentral's name for it is "long non-coding RNA (PPAT_LNC001458)". The record is from RNAcentral. Lineage: Eukaryota; Viridiplantae; Streptophyta; Bryopsida; Funariales; Funariaceae.